UCUGGUAUCAGUCGAAGACAGUCUUCAAUUACACAUCACAUGUGGCGCGGGCUCAGUCCCAAUACAUAGGGUGACACCCGCGCAUGCCUAUCAAAGCACUCAUCAUAUGAGCCCCUGGAUGGAGAGCCACGCUUCGUCACACGAUCACGCGUGAGAGUUCCGGGAAUCGGAUAGUCUCCACUAAUCCUUUGCUUUGACACCAAAUAUCACAAAGCCCUCAGAUCUCGAGGAUUGUGUGAUUCAAAUAAAUAUGCAUAAAUCACAACUUCUUGUGAUUUGAAGAUUGAGAUCAUAUCUCAACCAUAAAAGAGAUCAGAUCUCUUACCUUUAGAAGGAGGUUCCUUCAAGGAUGCUUCACAGCCGCACAAGCGUCCGGCCUCGAUGACUUGUCCACGCGAAGCUCCGGAAUGAUCAGCUUUCCGGAGAGUGCUAGCUCGCAGGGAGGCAGAAGGUUGGCUGAAAGGAAGAAGAAGGAAGAAGAUUGGACCUUCACAGCUCAAGAACUCCUUCUUGGGCUUUCACCUUCAGAACUACUCUCUCUUCUCACUCUCUUUCUCUGGU
This 561-nucleotide long non-coding RNA is filed under the name Phoenix dactylifera (date palm). RNAcentral describes it as "long non-coding RNA (PDAC_LNC012960)". The record is from RNAcentral. Lineage: Eukaryota; Viridiplantae; Streptophyta; Magnoliopsida; Arecales; Arecaceae.